AGCGAACGCUGGCGGCAUGCCUAACACAUGCAAGUCGAACGAACCCUUCGGGGUUAGUGGCGCACGGGUGCGUAACGCGUGGGAAUCUGCCCUUUGCUUCGGAAUAACUCAGGGAAACUUGUGCUAAUACCGGAUGAUGUCUUCGGACCAAAGAUUUAUCGGCAAGGGAUGAGCCCGCGUAGGAUUAGGUAGUUGGUGGGGUAAAGGCCUACCAAGCCGACGAUCCUUAGCUGGUCUGAGAGGAUGAUCAGCCACACUGGGACUGAGACACGGCCCAGACUCCUACGGGAGGCAGCAGUGGGGAAUAUUGGACAAUGGGCGCAAGCCUGAUCCAGCAAUGCCGCGUGAGUGAUGAAGGCCCUCGGGUCGUAAAGCUCUUUUACCAGGGAUGAUAAUGACAGUACCUGGAGAAUAAGCUCCGGCUAACUCCGUG
This 433-nucleotide ribosomal RNA is filed under the name uncultured bacterium. Its description in RNAcentral is "partial 16S ribosomal RNA". It matches the Rfam family "Bacterial small subunit ribosomal RNA", at positions 29 to 507 of the family's 1533-position model. The record is from RNAcentral.